UAAGAUGAGCUACAAUGUAGAAGAUACAUAUCUAAAAUUAUAAUUGUGAAAGCCUUCUUGGAAAUUCUUAUGAAAAUUCAGAAUCUAAUUUUGUAUAAAAGCUUAAACUUAACUUAAAAAUGCUUAUAUCGUUACAUCUUUGUAACCUUAGUUAUAUGCUUCAAUGAUCACGUCAUUCAGGAGAAUAACUGAAUAUAAUUUCUAAAUGAAAAUUUUAAUAUAAGAAAAACAGAAUUAAUUUUGACGCCUUGGUUGAUUGUCUCGAUACACAUCUGAAACAUAUCUUUUCUUAUCCUUAAAAUCUACUAAUAUUGGUCUAAAUGAUCAAUGAUCUUGAUUGCAAGCAAAUAUUUUUAAAUAUAUGAUUUUAUUUUGAUAUUAAAAAUAUUUAUUGUGCUUCAUGUAUACAUUGCUGAAAAACUAUGAUUAAGAAAUUGAGUUCUAUAAAUAUAUAUAUUUCAAUGAUCAUCUAUAUAUUUUUCUCUCCUACAGACUCUCAUCAGAAUAUAUAUAUAGAAUGAAUGAUCUUAAAGCUAGAAAUAUUUCAGCUCACCCAAAUGAUUCUUAAAAGAAAAAGAAAAUGUAAAUGCCUUUGAAAGAAA
Molecule: long non-coding RNA, 602 nt
Filed under: Phoenix dactylifera (date palm)
Lineage: Eukaryota; Viridiplantae; Streptophyta; Magnoliopsida; Arecales; Arecaceae
Description: long non-coding RNA (PDAC_LNC020355)
Source: RNAcentral